CCUACGGGUGGCAGCAGUGGGGAAUAUUGGGCAAUGGGCGCAAGCCUGACCCAGCAAUGCCGCGUGAAGGAAGAAGGCUUUCGGGUUGUAAACUUCUUUUAUAAGGGAAGAAAGAAAGGACGGGACCUCAAGAAUAAGCCACGGUGAACUACGGGCCAGCAGCCGCGGGAAUACGGAGGUGGCAAGGGUGAUCCGGAUUUACUGGGGGGAAAGGGGGUGUAGGCGGGACUGCAAGUCAGAUGUGAAAAUUAUGGGCUCAACCCCUAACGUGCAUUUGAAACUGUAGUUCUUGAGUGUUGGAGAGGUAGGCGGAAUUCCGGGUGUAGCGGUGAAAUGCGUAGAUAUACGGAGGAACACCAGUGGCGAAGGCGGCCUGCUGGACCUUAACUGACGCUGAGGCGCGAAAGCGUGGGGAGCAAACAGGAUUAGAUACCCCAGUAGUC
Molecule: ribosomal RNA, 443 nt
Filed under: uncultured bacterium
Lineage: Bacteria
Description: partial 16S ribosomal RNA
Rfam family: Bacterial small subunit ribosomal RNA
Source: RNAcentral